RNAcentral lists this ribosomal RNA (268 nucleotides) under uncultured prokaryote. Its description in RNAcentral is "partial 16S ribosomal RNA". It matches the Rfam family "Bacterial small subunit ribosomal RNA", at positions 509 to 776 of the family's 1533-position model. The record is from RNAcentral.
CAGCAGCCGCGGUAAUACGAGGGGUGCAAGCGUUAAUCGGAAUUACUGGGCGUAAAGCGUGCGUAGGUGGUUUGUUAAGCAAGAUGUGAAAGCCCCGGGCUCAACCUGGGAACUGCAUUUUGAACUGGCAAACUAGAGUAUUGUAGAGGGUAGUGGAAUUUCCAGUGUAGCGGUGAAAUGCGUAGAGAUUGGAAGGAACAUCAGUGGCGAAGGCGGCUACCUGGACAAAUACUGACACUGAGGCACGAAAGCGUGGGGAGCAAACAGG